Molecule: ribosomal RNA, 253 nt
Filed under: uncultured bacterium
Lineage: Bacteria
Description: partial 16S ribosomal RNA
Rfam family: Bacterial small subunit ribosomal RNA
Source: RNAcentral
UACGUAGGGUGCAAGCGUUAAUCGGAAUUACUGGGCGUAAAGCGUGCGCAGGCGGUUUUGUAAGACAGGCGUGAAAUCCUCGGGCUCAACCUGGGAAUUGCGCUUGUGACUGCAAGGCUGGAGUGCGGCAGAGGGGGAUGGAAUUCCGCGUGUAGCAGUGAAAUGCGUAGAUAUGCGGAGGAACACCGAUGGCGAAGGCAAUCCCCUGGGCCUGCACUGACGCUCAUGCACGAAAGCGUGGGGAGCAAACAGG